AAGUUUUCGGAUGGAUCUGAUUUAACUUAGUGGCGGACGGGUGAGUAAUGCGUGAGCAACCUGCCCUUCAGAGGGGGACAACAGUUGGAAACGACUGCUAAUACCGCAUAAUGUAUUCGGAAGGCAUCUUCUGAAUACCAAAGGAGAAAUCCGCUGAGGGAUGGGCUCACGUCUGAUUAGUUAGUUGGUGAGGUAACGGCCCACCAAGGCGACGAUUGGUAGCCGGACUGAGAGGUUGAACGGCCACAUUGGGACUGAGACACGGCCCAGACUCC
Molecule: ribosomal RNA, 275 nt
Filed under: uncultured Oscillospiraceae bacterium
Lineage: Bacteria; Bacillati; Bacillota; Clostridia; Eubacteriales; Oscillospiraceae
Description: partial 16S ribosomal RNA
Rfam family: Bacterial small subunit ribosomal RNA
Source: RNAcentral